AAAAGCAACGCGACCGUCGUGGGUKCAAUCCCCACCUCGAGCA
RNAcentral lists this transfer RNA (43 nucleotides) under Monosporozyma servazzii. RNAcentral's name for it is "Kazachstania servazzii partial transfer RNA". Lineage: Eukaryota; Fungi; Ascomycota; Saccharomycetes; Saccharomycetales; Saccharomycetaceae. The record is from RNAcentral.